RNAcentral lists this long non-coding RNA (1056 nucleotides) under Callithrix jacchus (white-tufted-ear marmoset). Its description in RNAcentral is "lncRNA (ENSCJAG00000069179.2)". Lineage: Eukaryota; Metazoa; Chordata; Mammalia; Primates; Cebidae. The record is from RNAcentral.
AUGUGCCAAACGUGCCACACGCCAAGCGUCUCGAGUGCUCUCUCACAUACACACGCCCGCGCGCGCACACUCACGUGCACGCACGCACACCCAUACACGCGCACACUCACGUGCACGCACGCCCGCCCAUACACGCGCACACAUGCACGCACACGACCGCCCAUACACGCACACACAUGCACUCACGCACACACAUGCACACGCAAGCGCACACACGCACGCACUCGCGCACGGCGGCGGCGAGUCCCCACAGGCUCCCAGGGCCGACCCCGGACACCUCCCACCUCCUUCCAGGGAUCAGGGCCAGGAAGUGCCCGCGUCUGGCGGGGCGCGUCUUCCCUGCCUGGCGCCAAGCGCCCCCCGACCCCCGAGCAGCUCCCCUACAGCCCCGCGCCCGCGGCCGCCCGGCGGGACCGCUCCUACCUCGGGCCCUUUGUCCUCCAGUCGCCGUUGGCCCGCACCCGACCGCCCGCCGCCGAUGGAGGCCAGCCCAGCCUCCAGGCUGCGCUGGCGGCCGCAGAGCCCGGCCCCGCACCCGGCCCGGUCCCCGGCCCUGGCCCCGGACGAGGAGCGGGGCGCUCGGCAAAGCCCGGAUCUCCGGAGCCGCGGCCGGCGCGGAAGACUCGACCCCUGACACCGGCCGCCCCCUGUGAUCCACUUCUCCGGGUCUUCGGGGCGGCCGAGCCCACCGCCCGGCCCUCCUCCGCGGCCGCCCCUGGACCUCCGCCGGGGAAGGGUCGGGGAGGGCGCGGGCCCCGCACCCCCAGAGGCGCCCGGCGGGGGGCGCAGGUGACAGGGACUGAGGGGAGCCCCCGCGCACUCCCGCCCGGGUUCGCGCCCCGGACCUGGAACCCCAGGUUUACCCUGACCCUCCCGCCCUCGUUCCCAACAAAGACGCGCUCCCGGCUCCGGCGCCCCAGGGAAGGUCGCCGAGCCCGGCCGCCCUGCCCGCUUGUCCUGCCCUGGCGGCUGCCAGGUCCCAUCCCGCGCCCACCUGCGUGGGUUCAGAAAGAUGGAAGGAACCUCGUGGGUUCAGAAAGAUGGAAGGAGCCCUGA